This 888-nucleotide ribosomal RNA is filed under the name Agaricus atroumbonatus. RNAcentral describes it as "Agaricus sp. HB-2018c partial large subunit ribosomal RNA". It matches the Rfam family "Eukaryotic large subunit ribosomal RNA", at positions 66 to 941 of the family's 3401-position model. Lineage: Eukaryota; Fungi; Basidiomycota; Agaricomycetes; Agaricales; Agaricaceae. The record is from RNAcentral.
UAACAAGGAUUCCCCUAGUAACUGCGAGUGAAGCGGGAAAAGCUCAAAUUUAAAAUCUGGCGGUCUUUGGCUGUCCGAGUUGUAAUCUAGAGAAGUAAUGCCCGUGCUGGACCGUGUAUAAGUCUCCUGGGAUGGGGCGUCAUAGAGGGUGAGAAUCCCGUCUUUGACACGGACUACCAGUGCAUUGUGGUAUGCUCUCAAAGAGUCGAGUUGUUUGGGAAUGCAGCUCAAAAUGGGUGGUAAAUUCCAUCUAAAGCUAAAUAUUGGCGAGAGACCGAUAGCGAACAAGUACCGUGAGGGAAAGAUGAAAAGAACUUUGGAAAGAGAGUUAAACAGUACGUGAAAUUGCUGAAAGGGAAACGCUUGAAGUCAGUCGCGUUGGCCAGGGAUCAGCCUUGCUUUUGCAUGGUGUACUUUCUGGUUGACGGGUCAGCAUCAAUUUUGACCGCUGGAAAAGGGCCUGGGGAAUGUGGCAGCUUCGGCUGUGUUAUAGCCCCUGGUCACAUACGGCGGUUGGGAUUGAGGAACUCAGCACGCCGCAAGGCCGGGUUUCGACCACGUUCGUGCUUAGGAUGCUGGCAUAAUGGCUUUAAGCGACCCGUCUUGAAACACGGACCAAGGAGUCUAACAUGCCUGCGAGUAUUUGGGUGAAAAACCCGGGUGCGCAAUGAAAGUGAAAGUUGAGAUCCCUGUCGUGGGGAGCAUCGACGCCCGGACCAGAACUUUUGGGACGGAUCCGCGGUGGAGCAUGUAUGUUGGGACCCGAAAGAUGGUGAACUAUGCCUGAAUAGGGUGAAGCCAGAGGAAACUCUGGUGGAGGCUCGUAGCGAUUCUGACGUGCAAAUCGAUCGUCAAAUUUGGGUAUAGGGGCGAAAGACUAAUCGAACC